Molecule: ribosomal RNA, 414 nt
Filed under: uncultured Singulisphaera sp.
Lineage: Bacteria; Pseudomonadati; Planctomycetota; Planctomycetia; Isosphaerales; Isosphaeraceae
Description: bacterial SSU rRNA
Rfam family: Bacterial small subunit ribosomal RNA
Source: RNAcentral
UCGAGAAUCUUCGGCAAUGGGCGCAAGCCUGACCGAGCGACGCCGCGUGGAGGAUGAAGGCCUUCGGGUUGUAAACUCCUGUCGAGGGGGAAAAAGGGCUGCAAGGCCUUGAUUGAUCCCUGGAGGAAGCACGGGCUAAGUUCGUGCCAGCAGCCGCGGUAAGACGAACCGUGCGAACGUUAUUCGGAAUCACUGGGCUUAAAGCGCGUGUAGGCGGGUUCGUACGUCCGUCGCUGAAAUCCCCCGGCUCAACCGGGGAACGGGCGUGGAUACGGCGGACCUGGAGGGGCGUAGGGGGACCUGGAACUUCCGGUGGAGCGGUGAAAUGCGUUGAGAUCGGAAGGAACGCCCGUGGCGAAAGCGAGGUCCUGGACGCCUACUGACGCUGAGACGCGAAAGCCAGGGGAGCGAACG